UACGUAGGGUGCAAGCGUUAAUCGGAAUUACUGGGCGUAAAGCGUGCGCAGGCGGUUUUGUAAGUUUGUCGUGAAAGCCCCGGGCUCAACCUGGGAAUUGCGAUGAAGACUGCAAGGCUUGAAUCUGGCAGAGGGGGGUAGAAUUCCACGUGUAGCAGGUGAAAUGCGUAGAGAUGUGGAGGAACACCGAUGGCGAAGGCAGCCCCCUGGGUCAAGAUUGACGCUCAUGCACGAAAGCGUGGGGAGCGAACAGG
This 254-nucleotide ribosomal RNA is filed under the name uncultured bacterium. Its description in RNAcentral is "partial 16S ribosomal RNA". It matches the Rfam family "Bacterial small subunit ribosomal RNA", at positions 524 to 776 of the family's 1533-position model. The record is from RNAcentral.